AUGGGGUCAGCGGGAAGCAGAGGAACGACGAAGCGAUCGGCGGCAGCCAACGCGCUGGUGCAGAACCUCACCAACUCGGCGUGGAUGUACCUGGCGCCGAUGGCGUUCGGGGUGGCGAGGAGCCUCUACAACCAGCACCUCCGGCGGCGGCUGGGCCGGCACGUACCGUCCGUCGACCCCUUCAUCACCGUCGACGUCGUCGCCAGGCCGGGGGACCCGCGCCCCUACUACGCCUACCACGACGUGGAGGCCAAGUCGAGUGACGCCUACGCGGAGGUGCUGGCGUACCUGAGCGCCGCGUGCUCGCGGGAGGCGCGGAGGCUCCGCGCGGAGGGCGCCGCCGAGGGCCACGGCUUCGUGCUCGGCCUCCGCGACGGCCAGGAGGUGGCCGACGAGUUCAAGGGCGUCACCGUGUGGUGGUCGCUGUGCCGCCGUCCCCGGCCGACGCCAGGAGGCGCUGCCGCCUCACGUUCCACGAGUCCCACCGGAGGCUUGUCGUCGACGAGUACCUGCCCCACGUCCGCCGCACCGGACAGGAGCUCGUCUCCAGCAACCGGCCACGCAGGCUCUACUCCAUCAAGAAGGAGCUCAACUACCAUUCUAGGAGGGAGGAGGUAUGGAGCUACACAGACUUCGACCACCCAGCCACGUUCGAGACCCUGGCCAUGA
RNAcentral lists this ribosomal RNA (669 nucleotides) under Triticum aestivum (bread wheat). RNAcentral describes it as "partial small subunit ribosomal RNA". Lineage: Eukaryota; Viridiplantae; Streptophyta; Magnoliopsida; Poales; Poaceae. The record is from RNAcentral.